This 301-nucleotide ribosomal RNA is filed under the name uncultured bacterium. RNAcentral describes it as "partial 16S ribosomal RNA". It matches the Rfam family "Bacterial small subunit ribosomal RNA", at positions 509 to 809 of the family's 1533-position model. The record is from RNAcentral.
CAGCCGCCGCGGUAAAACGUAGGUGGCAAGCGUUGUCCGGAAUUAUUGGGCGUAAGGGGCUCGCAGGCGGUUUCUUAAGUCUGAUGUGAAAGCCCCCGGCUCAACCGGGGAGGGUCAUUGGAAACUGGGAAACUUGAGUGCAGAAGAGGAGAGUGGAAUUCCACGUGUAGCGGUGAAAUGCGUAGAGAUGUGGAGGAACACCAGUGGCGAAGGCGACUCUCUGGUCUGUAACUGACGCUGAGGAGCGAAAGCGUGGGGAGCGAACAGGAUUAGAUACCCCCGUAGUCCCUGUCUCUUAUAA